Mya arenaria is the source of this 3994-nucleotide long non-coding RNA. RefSeq lists it as uncharacterized. NCBI's taxonomy places the organism in Eukaryota, Metazoa, Mollusca, Bivalvia, Myida, Myidae. The transcript is spliced from 4 exons. The record is from RefSeq and is a predicted model, not a curated record.
CAACUGUUUUUAGACUGUCGGCUGCAAGCCGACAGUCUUUAGAGAGCGGUAUUUCAGAAACGCGACUAGUCGCCUGACACGACAUAUUGAACAUGAAUAUAUUAAUACACACCACCUGCGUAGCAACAGAACUACUUACGUGAAUGUGGGGCGUCAAGUACCUGCUUAUGUGUAUUUAACGCGUUAUUGCCUUUUUUAUGACAAACAUUGCGUGUUACUCUUAGUAUAGUUGUACCGUUGCAAUUUGGUGAGUUUUAUUGAACAAAAUAAUGAAAAAUAAUGAAAGUAUAGCAUUUACAUACGAAGUCAUUUUACCCUACAUCCAAUAGUAAGCUACACCACAUGUUUGCACCCCCUGUGACGUCGCACAUAUCCCGGCAUUCAAGACUGACCCGGCAAUGAACUUAUUUCAUGAAUGAAAGCUAUUAAGAAAUAAAUCAUACGCGGUUAAAGAGUUCAUGUCAUGUAAUAUUUUGUGAAAUAGCUUUUAUGUUUCAAAUGAUUUUUUUCAGCAGCAAUCGAACUAGUGUAUUUGUUUGAGUAAAUUAUUUGGAUUAUACCUAUCACAGUGUGUCAACGUUAUGCCUAUUGUUAUUUUUGACUAUAGGGUGUAGUUUUUAAAGUCAUACACAAUAUGGCGGCGAUUAUGCGGAAAUGAAAUUGAAUGGUAUUUCGAAUACGUUCUUCUACAAAAUAACCGACCUGUAUUUAGUGCUAUUGCUUUAACAUCAAUCGAAGCAAAAAUGGCAUCAAUGUAAGCGUCUAAAAAUGUUAAAUUUAGAUGGAGACAAUCCAGAAAUGAGCUGCCAGGAAGUGAUCGAUUUCGGACACGAAGAUUGAGAAGUGCCUGGAUACAAGGCUAGUAUUGUUGACAUCAUCUGAUACAAUCAACUGGAACAAAGCUGAAAUGGCUGCCUGACCUGACUUAAAAAUUGGAUGGCAGUACAUCAGACUAGAAGAUUACAAGUAUUGAGGUGGACAAAAUAAAACCUGAGCCUACCAAAGCUGACAGAUUGCACAAGAAACACAUACAUGCAGAUUGGAAGAUUCAUUCUCUGGAAAGUAGAAAAGGGCAUGUUACAUACUGUUAUCACUGCCAUGACAGAAACCAUAUUGAGGAGCUGGUCCACCUGUAGGAAGAAUUGCGCUAUUGGUUGGGGCAGCACUAUUACCCAGCCAUACACCAGCACUUAGUUUGUCAUAGGAAGCAUUUCUGAGCAGUUAUGGAGACCACUAACUAUGCAGUUGUUGCAGUGAAACUUGCGCCAGUGUGUUUUCUGUGGAGAUAAAGAGAUAGUGUCCAGCAAUGAAGACCCAACUCAAGAUCUGACCUUGUAAGGCCAAUAUGAAAUAACUGUGUGGGAAAAAGGGAAAAACCUGCAGUCAGGAAUGCAUGGAAAUCAUCAAAAGAACAGUGUUAAAAUAAUCUUGAAUAACUUGACAUUUAUUUUGUUUGACAUAUUUAUUCAUGGUGCAGUGAAAACAUUCUUUUUUUCUCAUGGUUAUUUAAAUUUAGAAUUGAUAGGAGGGAACAUCACUAUGUAGUUUUAUGUUCAUAGUCAGAUCAAAACCCAUGUACAUGCCCAAAUGAGCAUUCGAAAAUAUCAAAACGGUACUUGUUGUAUGUAGUGUAAGUUAAUUAACAUAAUAAACAAAAAUAUUUAAUCAAUUUCAAUUUAUUAUGCCCCUUUCAAAGAAGAGGAGUAUAUUGCUUUGCACAUGUUGGCCGCUACGUCCGUCUGUCUGACAGUAGACCAAAGCUUUUCCGGGUGAUAACUCGACAAUUCCUAGACCUAUUGUCAAACUUGACAUGAAAGUUUGGUUUAACCAGUAGAUGACCACUUUUGAUUUUAGGGGUAAUAUGGUCAAAGGUCACAGUGACCUUAAACAGGAAGGUGUCAAACCAUACAUUUGACUGAUAAGUUGACAAUGCCUGCACCUAUGGCCCUCAAACUCAACAUGGAGGCUAAGUCUGACUAUUAGAAGAUCCUAUUGAUUUAAAGGGUCAUUGGGUCAAAAGUCAAAGUCACAGUGACUUUGAAUGCUUUAAGGUUGUACUAAUAAUGACUGGACAAAGCCUGCACCCAUGGCCCUUGAACAACUUGACUUUGGGGUUGGGCCUGACCAGUAGGUGAGCCCUAUUGAUUUGUCACAGACCAUUGAACGCAAAAAGCUUGCCUGUGUGACAACUCGACAAAGUCUGCACCCAUGGCCUUCAAACUUGAAAUUUAGGUUUGGGGUGACCAGCAGAUGACCCCUUUGGAUUUGGAGGUCAAGGUCACAUCUCCAAUAUUGGUCAUGAAAACUAUGUCAUUUACUUAUUCCCUGCUGCUAAGAGGAUACAUGUUUAUCAGCAAAUAUCAGCCAUCAUCUGAAUAUGAGUGAAAACUGUACCAACUACCCUCAUACUUUGAAUAGCAUAAUCUUAAAACUGCCUCAAAGGCAUCUUUUGUCAAUGAAAAACCAGCUGUCAUUUCGGUCCAUGCAUAUUUCAUUCAAUUGUCCAGAUAUUCUUGACAACAUGGCGCUAAUUAAUGCUGCAGGUUUGAAAUUUAAGAUAUAAGUUUUUUUCUUCAGCACCAUGCAGAUUUAUUAACACUUUUAUAAUAAAAACAAACUAGAAAACAAAUUUUAAAGAUAUUAGUUUUUUUCAUGGUAUGAUGCCACAGCACCAUGCAGAUUUGUUUUCACUUUUAUAUCAAAGAAAGUAACUCGAGCACAAAUUUUGUAGAUAUGUGGACUCUGUUGAUAGAAGUUCUGGCAUUUUUAGGCUUGAAAGAGCAUCAUUUUAAAGUUAUAUUUUUAUUAUGUCCCUUGAAUCUUGGGUAUAGUUUGUAUUGUAUUUGCAUUUUAAAGACAUUGACUUCAACAGACCCUAAUGAAAUGAAGGAAUGUAAUUGCUUACUGAAACUGUUAUAAGCGACGUCAUAAAUUGAAGCAAUUUUAACAUAAUGAAUAUGCAUUUAACUAAUUUAAAGCGGUUCAAAAUUAGGAAAUUUUAAUUAAGAAUCUUGUAGGCCAUUGGAUACAUGAUUAAGUAGGGCCAAUAUAUUUGUGCUUAUUAUAAUCACAUUUAUCCUUCUUCAUCUACCUUAAAGAGUGUUCAUCAUUUGUAUGAAAUCAUUUGAUCACGUUUCAUUUGAAAGAACUUUGCGGUAGUGUUUGCUUGCUUCAGUUACGUCACCGACAGUCUUGCAGCGCUUUCAGCGCUUUGAUUGAAAUUUGCACCAUGAUUAUGGACGACCAUGACCUCCAGAGGCCGGAUUGUGGUGAUUCGGCAGUUAUUCUCUACCAAACACUCCGACGUGAAAUUCUCAGUGAAAUUAGUCGCACAUGAAGAGGAUGUUUUCCAAAUACAGACCGAUUUAAAAUUCAGAAAAUUAACUUUUUAUUAUGGUAUGUGUUAUUUAAAUGUUUGGUCAGAAUACAUUUUAUAUAUUUACAAUACAUUUAUAUUUAUAGUAUCUGUUCUACAAAAACAUGUCUGUUUGAUAUAUAUACAACAUGUACAUGUAUUUCUAUUCGGUUAAUACACAUGCAUUAUGCAUCGCGCCAUGUGUACUGCAUAUGUGGUUGCUUUGUAUUUUCAACGUUAAGGAUGCACUCUUAUUCCCAAAUAAGAUUUACAUCAAUUAAUAAUAUUGUUUUAUUAUUCCCAAAAAGAUGAAUAAAUGUUAAAAACAAAUGGUUCCUACGAAGAAAAUCGAGUUCAAUUUGAAAGAAAUGAGCAUAAAACACAGUAUUUCUACCUUAUGAGACCAUAGUAGACCACAGUAAAUACUUUAGCAUUUACCAAUCUGUUCUUUUUGCACUUUCUGCUAAUAAAUUCACGGUUACAAUCGUGUUAUCAGUAGUUAAUAUUUUCCAUAAAUGCAUUAUUUAGUAAGCAGUUUAACGUUUAUCAGUCAAAAUUUAUGUUUGUUAUACACGUGUACGUAUUGAUUUUGAAUAAGAGUUUCACUUUCAAUGUAAGCCCAUGAAUAAGCACUGGUCA